UAGGUCUCCCUGGAAGUGAUUCCCUAAAGGUCCCUGGUAGACCACCAGGUUGAUAGGCUGGAGGUGUACGCGCAGCGAUGCGCUCAGCUGACCAGUACUAAUAGACCGUGAGUCUUAACCUCUCUAUUCU
RNAcentral lists this ribosomal RNA (130 nucleotides) under Desulfonatronum sp. SC1. RNAcentral describes it as "partial 23S ribosomal RNA". It matches the Rfam family "Bacterial large subunit ribosomal RNA", at positions 2806 to 2925 of the family's 2925-position model. Lineage: Bacteria; Pseudomonadati; Thermodesulfobacteriota; Desulfovibrionia; Desulfovibrionales; Desulfonatronaceae. The record is from RNAcentral.